AUUUUUCUGGAAUGCUAUAUACGUUUCAUAUAACAACAUUUGGAGGUUUUAUGGAACAUAGCAUAAAUUUUCAGGUUUAUGGGUUUGGAUGUCAGUAGGAGGUCCAGGCGAAUUAAUCGGAAUCGACGCGAACCUUACAGCAGCCCAAUACAUAGAUAUUUUGGAAAAUGCAUGCAUUCCAUCACUACAAGCAAUGUCCGUGGAUCCUGUAAAUUUGUUCAUGAUAGAUCACCUAUUCAUACCGCUCGGUUAACAAAACAGAUGGGAAACCAAUGCAUUUUGCAAGACAUGAAUUGGUCGGCGCGAGCAGCGGACAUAAACCCAUUCGAAAUAUGUUUGUUUUUAUAAAUACAAG
Molecule: long non-coding RNA, 355 nt
Filed under: Androctonus crassicauda
Lineage: Eukaryota; Metazoa; Arthropoda; Arachnida; Scorpiones; Buthidae
Source: RNAcentral